CUUCCGAUAGCAUAGUAGCCUCAAAAAACCCUCCUGUGGUUUCGUAGUUUCUUACUUUGCCCUCCUGUGGUUUAAAAUGUAUCAAUUUGCCUUCUUGUGGAUUCUUUUUUCUCUUUUUCUUAUCAAUUUUAUUAUUUUUUUUCUUCAAUCAGUGAUAAAGUUAAAAUAAAAGGGUACUAAAGUGAAUAUUUGAUAAAUUUAGAUGAGUAUUUGAAGUUUUUUGUAUAUAAUUUAAUAAAAUAUUAACGAAAAAGCUACCGAAAAGAUAAAAACCAAACCACGUGGGGGAAAGUUGAAACAUUUUAAACCACUAGGGGACAAAGUG
This 325-nucleotide long non-coding RNA is filed under the name Ananas comosus (pineapple). RNAcentral's name for it is "long non-coding RNA (ACOM_LNC021971)". Lineage: Eukaryota; Viridiplantae; Streptophyta; Magnoliopsida; Poales; Bromeliaceae. The record is from RNAcentral.